UACGAAGGGGGCUAGCGUUGCUCGGAAUCACUGGGCGUAAAGGGUGCGUAGGCGGGUCUUUAAGUCAGGGGUGAAAUCCUGGAGCUCAACUCCAGAACUGCCUUUGAUACUGAGGAUCUUGAGUUCGGGAGAGGUGAGUGGAACUCCGAGUGUAGAGGUGAAAUUCGUAGAUAUUCGGAAGAACACCAGUGGCGAAGGCGACACACUGGCCCGUUACUGACGCUGAGGCGCGAAAGCGUGGGGAGCAAACAGG
Molecule: ribosomal RNA, 253 nt
Filed under: uncultured bacterium
Lineage: Bacteria
Description: partial 16S ribosomal RNA
Rfam family: Bacterial small subunit ribosomal RNA
Source: RNAcentral